ACGACCAUCAUUUAAUGGUAGGAUUGCUGUCUUCCAAACAGAGUGUGUGGGUUCGAUUCCCACUGGUCGUA
Pestalotiopsis fici W106-1 is the source of this 71-nucleotide transfer RNA. It matches the Rfam family "tRNA". From Rfam's summary of the family: Transfer RNA (tRNA) molecules are approximately 80 nucleotides in length. Their secondary structure includes four short double-helical elements and three loops (D, anti-codon, and T loops). NCBI's taxonomy places the organism in Eukaryota, Fungi, Ascomycota, Sordariomycetes, Amphisphaeriales, Sporocadaceae. The record is from Rfam.